GGACACGCCCUCUUCGGCCCUGGGAGUGAAGGGAGUGGAGGCGGAACCUGAAGUAGGUGCUAAGGCCGCAGAGGCUGGGAAUUUAGGUCGUUUUUGUUUGCUUUUUCAAUGGAGCUGACGAAUGUAGCUCAGGAUCUUGUAUGAAGUAGUUUUACGACAUUUACACUCUACCUGACCGGAAGCAGUUCUCGAGGCUGAGAAGUCCAGGAUCAAGGCGAUGGCAGAUUCAUUGUUGGGGUUCCUGUCACACAGCUACACAGAGGCCCAUCCACCCGGCUUGUGCAAAUCUGCUCACACCCUCCGUUGUCCUCACACCAGUCCAGCCCUGAAGAAAGAGCCGAUGGACAAGUUACCUGCAGACAAUCCAACUCUCCAACUGGAGUACUUUUCUGAAUCACAGAGGGACACUGCGCAGUGAAGGUGGACUUCGUCAUAAUCCCCAAUGAACUUGAAGACCGUGACGUGAAAGCGACAGCACCAGUCUCUGGCUCUCCUUCCUGUAUAAACAUGCCCUGACCAGACAGGAGCCGUGGCUUUUCCUGGAUUUGCCCAUAGCACCCAGCUGAGCCCCUGGAGUGCAGGAACCAAGGUGUAAUCCUGAUGGGGUCUGCAACACACUGAGUAGAACGUACUCCAGGGGAGGAGUAUACCUGCCAGUCGCACUGAUUCAGGGCUUGGCUGUGUGACUUGCUUUGGUCUCCUGGAACCCUCAGAGGGUCAAGAAAAACUCCUCAAAGGCCAGGAAAUUUAAUGCUGCAUCUCUUCCAAAUACAGAAGAAACCGAUUCCAGAAAGGCUAAUCAUACUCCUUCGAAUCCGGGUUGGAAGGAAUGCUCACUCCUGGAGGUUCCAGUGCUGAAAGAAUGCCAGUGUCUAAUGAGGUCAUUGUGAGGGCAGAGACAGAGACAGAGGGACAGGGACAGAGAGAGCAAGGGGGUCUUGACAGCAUCUCGCUCCCUGGACCCAGUCAUCCCCACAGCCACAUCUACUGAUGUGGUUUGGUUCUGUAACCAUUAGCUGCCUUGUUUUUGCAUAAACUAGUGUGAAAUGGUCUCUACUACUCAUAAGACGAAGAAUUUUGAUGAAUGCAGGCAUCUGCUUUAAGCAUUAUUGUAUUGGGGUGAUGGAAAUGGUCCAAAAUUAGAUUUUGGUGAUGGCUGUGCUCCUCUGUAGAUUUACUAAAAAUCAUUGACUUUUACACCUAAAGCAAGUUAUGGUUUUUUU
Molecule: long non-coding RNA, 1223 nt
Organism: Phacochoerus africanus (Common warthog)
Lineage: Eukaryota; Metazoa; Chordata; Mammalia; Artiodactyla; Suidae
Exons: 7
Source: RefSeq, a predicted model, not a curated record